AAAUUGAAGAGUUUGAUCAUGGCUCAGAUUGAACGCUGGCGGCAGGCCUAACACAUGCAAGUCGAACGGUAACAGGAAUCAGCUUGCUGAUUCGCUGACGAGUGGCGGACGGGUGAGUAAUGUCUGGGAAACUGCCUGAUGGAGGGGGAUAACUACUGGAAACGGUAGCUAAUACCGCAUAAUGUCGCAAGACCAAAGAGGGGGACCUUCGGGCCUCUU
Molecule: ribosomal RNA, 219 nt
Filed under: Escherichia coli
Lineage: Bacteria; Pseudomonadati; Pseudomonadota; Gammaproteobacteria; Enterobacterales; Enterobacteriaceae
Also listed under: 2 other names
Description: partial 16S ribosomal RNA
Rfam family: Bacterial small subunit ribosomal RNA
Source: RNAcentral